Molecule: small nuclear RNA, 141 nt
Organism: Nomascus leucogenys (northern white-cheeked gibbon)
Lineage: Eukaryota; Metazoa; Chordata; Mammalia; Primates; Hylobatidae
Gene: U2
Rfam family: U2 spliceosomal RNA
About the family: U2 is a small nuclear RNA (snRNA) component of the spliceosome (involved in pre-mRNA splicing). Complementary binding between U2 snRNA (in an area lying towards the 5' end but 3' to hairpin I) and the branchpoint sequence (BPS) of the intron results the bulging out of an unpaired adenosine, on the BPS, which initiates a nucleophilic attack at the intronic 5' splice site, thus starting the first of two transesterification reactions that mediate splicing.
Source: Ensembl
AUCACUUCUCGGCCUUCUGGCUAAGAUCAAAUGUAGCAUCUGUUUUUAUCCGUUUAUGUUCAAGGUAAAUUGUGCAUGCACAUGCUGUAGUCUAGGUAGGAUUUGACCAGGUAACAGAGCAUCUCUGGUACGUGAGACUGG